CUCAUUUUCCACCGGAAGGAGGGAGAAAUUAUGACCGAGAGCCUGACACCUGAUGCUAGCGGCUUUUGUCUCGCCAAGUUGACCCAGUAUUUGGCCACCUUGUGCGGCGGGUGACUAUGGUGUCCAGGUAUAUAUAUGUAUUACCUGAAAGCCCAGGGCAGUUGUUGCCUUGGGUCAUGCAGAGAAUAUGCAGCCACACCCAUGCCUUAGAUGUGUGUAAUUCAAGUGGAGAAGACACAAGCCAGUGGUCGCAAUAUCAACACUUGAGUGUUCUGUAAACGGAUUGGUGUCAGCAGAAAACCAACAGUGAUGUGGUGGCACACAGUGAACUGACAGGACCCAGGCAGCAGCGGUUCUUUUGGUGGCAAUGGUGCCAUGUCAUGGGUACUCUCCUUGCUGAUGGCAGAUACCGACAGGCAAACUGUUGCCUUGCGUUUAGCUCUGUUAACCAUUGACAGUAAGAUUUAUCAGAGGUUGCAGCUGCACAUGGCCAUGAGGUAAACCUUGCCCCUGUUUGAAAUUGAGUUUCAUCAGCUUCUACAUGGGAUUAUAAGGACUUGGAAUAUAUCACAGACCCAGCAGGGUUUCCCCCCUCAUUUUUUUUUUUUAAGAUUUAUUUUUCUUCCUAAAGAUAACAUGCUUAAACAAAGUUCUUUAUGGUUAGUAACUGUGAUGCUUGAAGUUGGUUAUCCCUUACUCCAGUAAAUUUUAAAUGUCAAAGAUAUCUUGUUAAAUAAAAAAAAAACUAUC
This 750-nucleotide long non-coding RNA is filed under the name Mus musculus (house mouse). RNAcentral describes it as "RIKEN cDNA 2900076A07 gene, transcript variant 2 (2900076A07Rik)". Lineage: Eukaryota; Metazoa; Chordata; Mammalia; Rodentia; Muridae. The record is from RNAcentral.